GAUGAACGCUAGCGAUAGGCCUAACACAUGCAAGUCGAGGGGCAGCGCGGGUAGCAAUACCUGUCGGCGACCGGCGCACGGGUGAGUAACGCGUAUGUAACCUGCCCUCAACAGGGGGAUAACCCGGCGAAAGUCGGACUAAUACCGCAUAAAACAGGGGUCCCGCAUGGGAAUAUUUGUUAAAGAUUUAUCGGUUGCGGAUGGGCAUGCGUACCAUUAGGUAGUUGGUGAGGUAACGGCUCACCAAGCCUUCGAUGGUUAGGGGUUCUGAGAGGAAGGUCCCCCACACUGGUACUGCGACACGGACCAGACUCCUACGGGAGGCAGCAGUGAGGAAUAUUGGGCAAUGGGCGAGAGCCUGAACCAGCCAAGUCGCGUGAAGGAUGACUGCCCUAUGGGUUGUAAACUUCUUUUACAAGGGAAUAAAAUGAGAUACGUGUAUUUUAUUGAAUGUACCUUGGGAAUAAGCAUCGGCUAACUCCGUG
RNAcentral lists this ribosomal RNA (485 nucleotides) under uncultured bacterium. RNAcentral's name for it is "partial 16S ribosomal RNA". It matches the Rfam family "Bacterial small subunit ribosomal RNA", at positions 28 to 507 of the family's 1533-position model. The record is from RNAcentral.